GAUGAACGCUGGCGGCGUGCCUAAUACAUGCAAGUCGAGCGAACGGACGAGAAGCUUGCUUCUCUGAUGUUAGCGGCGGACGGGUGAGUAACACGUGGAUAACCUACCUAUAAGACUGGGAUAACUUCGGGAAACCGGAGCUAAUACCGGAUAAUAUUUUGAACCGCAUGGUUCAAAAGUGAAAGACGGUCUUGCUGUCACUUAUAGAUGGAUCCGCGCUGCAUUAGCUAGUUGGUAAGGUAACGGCUUACCAAGGCAACGAUGCAUAGCCGACCUGAGAGGGUGAUCGGCCACACUGGAACUGAGACACGGUCCAGACUCCUAAGGGAGGCAGCAGUAGGGAAUCGUACGCAAUGGGCGAAAGCCUGACGGAGCAACGCCGCGUGAGUGAUGAAGGUCUUCGGAUCGUAAAACUCUGUUAUGAGGGAAGAACAUAUGUGGAAGGAACUGUGCACAUCUUGACGGUACCUAAUCAGAAAGCCACGGCUAACUACGUG
Molecule: ribosomal RNA, 497 nt
Filed under: uncultured bacterium
Lineage: Bacteria
Description: partial 16S ribosomal RNA
Rfam family: Bacterial small subunit ribosomal RNA
Source: RNAcentral